GAUGAACGCUGGCGGCGUGCCUAACACAUGCAAGUCGAGCGAACCCUUCGGGGUGAGCGGCGGACGGGUGAGUAACGCGUGGGUAACCUGCCCUGUACACACGGAUAACAUACCGAAAGGUAUGCUAAUACGAGAUAAUAUAUUUUAAUCGCAUGGUUAUGAUAUCAAAGCUCCGGCGGUACAGGAUGGACCCGCGUCUGAUUAGCUAGUUGGUGAGGUAAUGGCUCACCAAGGCGACGAUCAGUAGCCGACAUGAGAGGGUGAUCGGCCACACUGGAACUGAGACACGGUCCAGACUCCUACGGGAGGCAGCAGUGGGGAAUAUUGCACAAUGGGCGAAAGCCUGAUGCAGCAACGCCGCGUGAGCGAUGACGGCCUUCGGGGCGUAAAGCUCUGUCCUCAAGGAAGAUAAUGACGGUACUUGAGGAGGAAGCCCCGGCUAACUACGUGCCAGCAGCCGCCGUAA
RNAcentral lists this ribosomal RNA (466 nucleotides) under uncultured bacterium. RNAcentral describes it as "partial 16S ribosomal RNA". It matches the Rfam family "Bacterial small subunit ribosomal RNA", at positions 28 to 523 of the family's 1533-position model. The record is from RNAcentral.